GGAGGGUACAGCUCAGUGGUAGAGCACAUGUCUAGCAUGCACGAGGUCCUAGGUUCAAUCCCCAGCACCUCCA
This is a non-coding RNA of Camelus ferus (Wild Bactrian camel), 73 nucleotides long. Lineage: Eukaryota; Metazoa; Chordata; Mammalia; Artiodactyla; Camelidae. The record is from Rfam.